ANACAACUUUCAACAAUGGAUCUCUUGGCUCUCGCAUCGAUGAAGAACGCAGCGAAAUGCGAUAAGUAAUGUGAAUUGCAGAAUUCAGUGAAUCAUCGAAUCUUUGAACGCAUCUUGCGCUCCUUGGUAUUCUGAGGAGCAUGCCUGUUUGAGUGUCAU
RNAcentral lists this ribosomal RNA (159 nucleotides) under Amanita curtipes. RNAcentral describes it as "5.8S ribosomal RNA". It matches the Rfam family "5.8S ribosomal RNA". Rfam says of the family: 5.8S ribosomal RNA (5.8S rRNA) is a component of the large subunit of the eukaryotic ribosome. Lineage: Eukaryota; Fungi; Basidiomycota; Agaricomycetes; Agaricales; Amanitaceae. The record is from RNAcentral.